This 494-nucleotide ribosomal RNA is filed under the name uncultured bacterium. Its description in RNAcentral is "bacterial SSU rRNA". It matches the Rfam family "Bacterial small subunit ribosomal RNA", at positions 28 to 507 of the family's 1533-position model. The record is from RNAcentral.
GAUGAACGCUAGCUACAGGCUUAACACAUGCAAGUCGAGGGGAAACGACAUCGAAAGCUUGCUUUUGGUGGGCGUCGACCGGCGCACGGGUGAGUAACGCGUAUCCAACCUGCCCACCACUUGGGGAUAACCUUGCGAAAGUAAGACUAAUACCCAAUGAUAUCCCACGAAGGCAUCCGAAUGGGAUUAAAGAUUUAUCGGUGAUGGAUGGGGAUGCGUCUGAUUAGCUUGUUGGCGGGGUAACGGCCCACCAAGGCAACGAUCAGUAGGGGUUCUGAGAGGAAGGUCCCCCACAUUGGAACUGAGACACGGUCCAAAACUCCUACGGGAGGCAGCAGUGAGGAAUAUUGGUCAAUGGGGCGAGAGCCUGAACCAGCCAAGUAGCGUGCAGGACGACGGCCCUAUGGGUUGUAAACUGCUUUUAUAAGGGAAUAAAGUGAGUCUCGUGAGACUUUUUGCAUGUACCUUAUGAAUAAGGACCGGCUAAUUCCGUG